UCUUCUUUCUUCUUCCUGGGCGUAUACCUUGCUUUGAUUUCCGUGCCUAUUUGGGUCUCAAACCAGACACAACAGACCCUGAUCUGAUUGAACCAUGGGAUUUAGCCUAAACUUGAGUUGGGUAGUGUGGAUCAGACCGUGUACCGGCCUAUUUGGGUCUCAAACCAGACACAACAGACCCUGAUCUGAUUGAACCAUGGGAUUUAGCCUAAACUUGAGUUGGGUAGUGUGGAUCAGACCGUGUACCGAUUCCACCCAUUUCUUGAAUUGGGUUGGGUCUGAGUUUAAGUGAAUGGGUUUUGUUAUGGUCUGAUCAGACCUGGUCUGGGUUGGGUUGGGGGUCUGUGUUGGGCUGAGUCGGGCCAAAUUGGAACUGUGGACUGGUUUGGGUUGGGCCCGAAAUUUGAUAUGAACCUGUUAUCCGGUUUGGUUCAAUUGGGCCUAAUCUGUUUUGGGCCACAAUUGACUUGGGUCUAAAGGAUUCUGAUUUUAGGGUAUAUGUUUGAUCUUGGGG
This 514-nucleotide long non-coding RNA is filed under the name Phoenix dactylifera (date palm). Its description in RNAcentral is "long non-coding RNA (PDAC_LNC022533)". The record is from RNAcentral. Lineage: Eukaryota; Viridiplantae; Streptophyta; Magnoliopsida; Arecales; Arecaceae.